This is a long non-coding RNA of Hylaeus volcanicus, 1263 nucleotides long. RefSeq lists it as uncharacterized. The record is from RefSeq and is a predicted model, not a curated record. The transcript has 3 exons. NCBI's taxonomy places the organism in Eukaryota, Metazoa, Arthropoda, Insecta, Hymenoptera, Colletidae.
UUCAAGAGUUUUUUUUGUGUAAGCAAACAAGAAUAGUCUAUCAAGGAGAGGAAUUCGGAACCUUUUUAUGUUAUCGCGAAUUUAACGUGAGACAUUGACGGUACAGUGAAAGCGAAAGCACCCCAAAGAAAUAUCAUACUGUAGCUUUUGUACUCUUCGUUAUAUGAACGGACUUGUUUGAAAAAAUAAAUUGUUCGAACUCGUGUAAAGUCGAUCCCAAAAUACAUACGGCGGAAUAAAAUAACAUACAAUGUUGAUUGACACAACUGGAGAGGACUCUAGAGGAAUGUUAUUAUUAAUUUUUUUAAAUCUGUGAGUUAAAUAAAGAAGGUCUUGUGCUUCCAUUAAAUCGAUUUGAGGUGACAUUGAUUCCAUUCUUUCAUAUGGGGAUGUCACACGAUGAGAAAAGUCCCUUAAAAAAAAUUUCUUCGUUUUUUUGAAGGGUAUCCUUUGACAAUGAAUACUAUGUCGGAAUUACAGAUCGUGUCUCAUUUUUGUUUGAGUUUUGAUACCCCUGAAUGUCGAUUUGAAUUGUGUUACCAAAGAAGGAGCGUCUGCCUUUUUACAAUAAAGCGAUCUAGAUAUGCAAAUAGACCCUUUUAAAGGAUUUGAAGACAUGUAGGACAAGAUCUUAUUACAGUUCUUUAAUGUUGAGUCUGUUUGAUUAAGAACUGCUUUUCUUGAAUUCCUUUAUGGGUAUAACGCGUGUUGGAAUAAAAGCAAUCAUUGGGUUUAGAACCCAAACAUAUUUUUGUAAUAGGCUCAAAUGCUGGAUAUAGUAAUGAAAUCAUAGUAAAAUGUUAUAAAUAAAUUAUGAAAACAAGCUGAUGUAUUUGUUUGCGUUAUAAUACUUUUCAUAAAUAAAGCCUUCAAGUGUAAAGAGUCGAGGGUAUUUUAUGGUUCUUUAUUAAAAGUAUAAACAAAUUUUUCUAAAAUCCUUGUUUCAACUUUGGUGAAUGAAUUAAAGCUUUUUACAAAAUUUAGAAAAAAUUAAAAGCAGCGAAUCAAUUUGUCUAAUUUUAGUUGAGUGCUUAAUUGUUAUUGAACUAAUACUAACAUGAAGAUACAAGGACCACGAUAGUUGGAAUACAUAUAGAAUGGAUUAAGAAGCAGGUAAUAAAAAUUCGAAUAAGCUUUAUGCAGUAAAGAAAAAAUCCGUUAUAAACAUGGUUAGUUUAUCAAAAAGAGAAUUGGGUUCAUUUUGUGUACCUUGUGGUCUAAAGCAAUAGAAUAGUUUCAAGUACGAAAAGGUAAAAGUUGCAG